GUCCUUGUGGCGCAAUGGAUAGCGCAUCGGACUCCUAAUCCGGAGGUUGCGGGUUCGAGUCCCGUCGAGGACU
Molecule: transfer RNA, 73 nt
Filed under: Intoshia linei
Lineage: Eukaryota; Metazoa; Orthonectida; Rhopaluridae
Rfam family: tRNA
About the family: Transfer RNA (tRNA) molecules are approximately 80 nucleotides in length.
Source: Rfam by way of RNAcentral